This 406-nucleotide ribosomal RNA is filed under the name uncultured bacterium. RNAcentral's name for it is "partial 16S ribosomal RNA". It matches the Rfam family "Bacterial small subunit ribosomal RNA", at positions 29 to 526 of the family's 1533-position model. The record is from RNAcentral.
AUUGAACGCUGGCGGCAGGCCUAACACAUGCAAGUCGAACGAGUGGCGGACGGGUGAGUACUGUCUGGGAAACUGCCCGAUGGAGGGGGAUAACUACUGGAAACGGUAGCUAAUACCGCAUACCAUCGGAUGUGCCCAGAUGGGAUGAGCUUGUAGGUGAGGUAACGGCUCACCUAGGCGACGAUCACUCGCUGGUCUGCGAGGAUGACCAGACAAACUGAAACGGCGACAGGGUGCAGGCUCCGACGGGAGGCAGCAGUGGGGAAUAUUGCAGAAUGGGCGAAGGCCGAAGGCAGACAUGCCGCGAGUAUGAAGAAGGAAUUCGGGUUGUAAAGUAAGUUCAGCGGGGAGGCGGUACCCGCAGAAGAAGUACCGGCUAAAGCCGUGCCAGCAGCCGCGGUAAUUC